Molecule: long non-coding RNA, 435 nt
Organism: Magallana angulata
Lineage: Eukaryota; Metazoa; Mollusca; Bivalvia; Ostreida; Ostreidae
Exons: 4
Source: RefSeq, a predicted model, not a curated record
AGAAGUCUCCCUUGAUAAAGUUCAACAAUGGCGGAUAAACAAUGUGGGAUGCUGUCUUGUCAACAACAGUGAAAUUUGACACCUGUAUACCCGUAUUUCUACCAAUUGUCUCAGUCUUCUUUGUUGUGUACAUCAGACAGGUGCCCCUACAGAUUCACAAAGUUCCAAUGUUGAAUGUCCAUGACCCUGGUUGAUCCGCGACAGGAAAAGGAAUAAAGUUGGCAGGAAUUUCCGCACUGUCUUUGGUAGCAGCUGAUGAUGGAACUGACAGCAGUUGACAUGGCCUGUUUCUUCAAAGAUGCACCAGAAGCAGCAGCACUAUCUCCAUCACUGGUGAAAUGGGAAAUGACAAGUGGACGGUCAUCACUUUGCAGCUCAACGAUGCAUUCCGCAGCCCAUCUCUUUUCAUCUUCUAUGGUGAUCUCAGGAGGAAUG